AGAGUUUGAUCAUGGCUCAGAGCGAACGCUGGCGGCAGGCCUAACACAUGCAAGUCGAACGCACCUUCGGGUGAGUGGCGGACGGGUGAGUAACACGUGGGAACGUACCUUUAGGUUCGGAAUAACGCAGAGAAAUUUGCGCUAAUACCGAAUGUGCCCUUCGGGGGAAAGAUUUAUCGCCUUUAGAGCGGCCCGCGUUAGAUUAGCUAGUUGGUGGGGUAAUGGCCCACCAAGGCUACGAUCUAUAGCUGGUCUGAGAGGAUGAUCAGCCACACUGGGACUGAGACACGGCCCAGACUCCUACGGGAGGCAGCAGUGGGGAAUCUUGCGCAAUGGGCGAAAGCCUGACGCAGCCAUGCCGCGUGAAUGAUGAAGGUCUUAGGAUUGUAAAAUUCUUUCAGCAGGGACGAUAAUGACGGUACCUGCAGAAGAAGCCCCGGCUAACUUCGUGCCAGCAGCCGCGGUAAUACGAAGGGGGCUAGCGUUGCUCGGAAUUACUGGGCGUAAAGGGAGCGUAGGCGGGUUAUCAAGUUGGAGGUGAAAGCCCAGGGCUCAACCUUGGAAUUGCCUUCAAAACUGAUAGCCUAGAGUAUGAUAGAGGUAAGUGGAACUCCGAGUGUAGAGGUGAAAUUCGUAGAUAUUCGGAAGAACACCAGUGGCGAAGGCGACUUACUGGAUCAUGACUGACGCUGAGGCUCGAAAGCGUGGGGAGCAAACAGGAUUAGAUACCCUAGUAGUCC
Molecule: ribosomal RNA, 740 nt
Filed under: uncultured bacterium
Lineage: Bacteria
Description: bacterial SSU rRNA
Rfam family: Bacterial small subunit ribosomal RNA
Source: RNAcentral